CCUACGGGCGGCAGCAGUGAGGAAUAUUGGUCAAUGGGUGGAAGCCUGAACCAGCCAAGUAGCGUGCGGGAUGAAGGCCCUACGGGUCGUAAACCGCUUUUGCACGGGGAUAACACCCUCCACUUGUGGAGGUCUGCAGGUACCGUGCGAAUAAGGGCCGGCUAAUUCCGUGCCAGCAGCCGCGGUAAUACGGAAGGCCCGAGCGUUAUCCGGAUUCAUUGGGCUUAAAGGGAGCGUAGGCGGGCGUUCAAGUCAGCUGUAAAAUCGCGCGGCUCAACCGCGCCCCGCAGUUGAAACUGGACGCCUUGAGUUCACAACAGGCAGGCGGAAUUCGUGGUGUAGCGGUGAAAUGCAUAGAUAUCGAGAGGAACACUCGUGGCGAAGGCGGGUUCCUGGACAUUAACUGACGCUGAGGCACGAAGGCCAGGGGAGCGAAAGGGAUUAGAUACCCUGGUAGUC
This 459-nucleotide ribosomal RNA is filed under the name uncultured bacterium. RNAcentral's name for it is "partial 16S ribosomal RNA". It matches the Rfam family "Bacterial small subunit ribosomal RNA", at positions 338 to 795 of the family's 1533-position model. The record is from RNAcentral.